UCAAGAGUGUAUAACCCCACUUGUAAAAUAGUGGGGUUAACCUCCCGUCCUUUGCCUGGUAUCCCCCCUAAAAACUUUUUUUUGGGGGAUGGGGGUACACUUUGAUUUCUGCUUCGGUGGGGUUUUAACCCACCGGAACAACCUCAAAAAUAUUCUUUAUUCAAGACCGUUCAGUCCGAGAAUUAUUUUUUAAAUUGAUGA
RNAcentral lists this unclassified non-coding RNA (201 nucleotides) under uncultured fungus. RNAcentral's name for it is "sequence contains ITS1". The record is from RNAcentral. Lineage: Eukaryota; Fungi.